This 468-nucleotide ribosomal RNA is filed under the name uncultured bacterium. RNAcentral describes it as "partial 16S ribosomal RNA". It matches the Rfam family "Bacterial small subunit ribosomal RNA", at positions 28 to 507 of the family's 1533-position model. The record is from RNAcentral.
GACGAACGCUGGCGGCGUGCUUAACACAUGCAAGUCGAACGGAAAGGCCCUGCUUUUGUGGGGUGCUCGAGUGGCGAACGGGUGAGUAACAAGUGAGUAACCUGCCCUUGACUUUGGGAUAACUUCAGGAAACUGGGGCUAAUACCGGAUAGGAGCUCCUGCUGCAUGGUGGGGGUUGGAAAGUUUCGGCGGUUGGGGAUGGACUCGCGGCUUAUCAGCUUGUUGGUGGGGUAGUGGCUUACCAAGGCUUUGACGGGUAGCCGGCCUGAGAGGGUGACCGGCCACAUUGGGACUGAGAUACGGCCCAGACACCUACGGGAGGCAGCAGUGGGGAAUAUUGCACAAUGGGCGGAAGCCUGAGGCAGCAACGCCGCGUGCGGGAUGACGGCCUUCGGGUUGUAAACCGCUUUCGCCUGUGACGAAGCGUGAGUGACGGUAAUGGGUAAAGAAGCACCGGCUAACUACGUG